CUGUAAUUUUAUGAUAGAGUACUCAGAUCAGCCGUUCAGUUAUCUUGACGAUAAACACUUUAUCCGAUAAGAUAACUCUGCAUUUCCACGCCUCCUCUAAACUGGCUAUUCUAAUGAACCUCUCCAUCCACCACCACCCCAUUGGAAAAAAAAAUGCAGUUGAAUCACCUAUUUGUAGAGCCCCUGAAACCAGGAUGGAUCACAUUCAAUACUUUAAAAAAAUCAUUUUUGUAGAUUGUUGAGAAAGAAAUAUGUUUCAGAUGAUCCUGUUUAGAGCUGUGUGUUAACCUCUAAGAGGCCUAGCUGAAUUGUUGCAGUGAGUUCUAGCUAGGCUCAGGGCAGUAAGGGAAGUGUGUCCCAAUGUGGUCUAUUGGAGGGUGGUGACCACAUAAUAGCCAUCAUUUCCUCAGAGGAAGGAGUGCCCAGGAAUAGAAAUGAGGGCCUGGCGGUCUCACUGUCCCUCCCUAAGGCUGCCAGCCUAUGAUGGUGGAGAGGGAAGGUCUGUUUCCAUGUUCUCUGGAAUCUCAGGACGAGUGUGGGAUAAGGAGAGCAUGGUAAGGCAAAGCCAGGGGUCCUGGAUAUGAAUCCCUCUUCUGACUUGUAGCAGAAAUGUGACACUGAGCAAUUCACCUUGUAAGGUGACAUGUAGAAACAGUAACAUAUACAGAGAUCUUAAGCUGUGUUUUAUAUGCAUUUUUUACAUGCAUAGAUUCCCAGAAAGCUGUCAGGCCUCUGGGCUCAUUUUGUUGGUUUGUGGUUCCAGACUGAAAGCAGAUUUUGUCUGAAUCCAAAUUCACCCUGUGGAUUUUGUUUUGAAAGCUUGCAGUCAUUCAGAAGAUGUUGCUAGAUCAUGUGCAGGGAUGGGGUGUGUCUAUGUGUGCAUGCGUGUGUGUGCAUGUGUGUGUGCACGUGCAUGGGUGACAACGGAAGCUGGUGCUUAUGGUUUGCCUUAGUUUUCAGGGAGGGGAGCAAGAUGCCCAGCAGAGGCAAGACAGGGUGCUUUCCCAUGGCUAAGGAGUCAGUGGGUUUGAAUGGUUGCUAGCUUUCUGUUACUGUGACAAAUACUGGUGAUAAGUUAACUUAAAAAGAAGAAAAGUUAUUUGGACUCACAGUUUUAGCAAUUUGAAUCCAUGAUUGCUUAUCCCAUUGUCCAGGCCUGUGGGAGGCAGCACAACACGGUAGGGGCGGAGCCAAGCUGCUCACCUAAUAAGGGGGGGGGGCAUGGGAGAUGGAGGUGUCAGGGUCCCAAUACCCCAUCAAGGGCACACCCCAGGAACAUAACUUCCUCCCGCUAGGCCCCACCUCCUAAGGUCUCCACCCACUCCCAGCAGCGCUUUAGGCUGGGACCCAAGGUUAAACACUGGAACCUCUGAGGGACUUCAGGAAACCACAGCAGUUUGGGAUUCCAGAGGGAGCCCUGGGAAUCUGAUUAGACCUUGAAAGGAAAUGACUGCUUGGUGUCCCCUGUGAGCAGAAUGGGGCAAGGAGGAGGGGCCGACCUUCCUAAGGACCUGGGUGCAAAGGGGCUUCCUC
RNAcentral lists this long non-coding RNA (1533 nucleotides) under Marmota monax (woodchuck). Lineage: Eukaryota; Metazoa; Chordata; Mammalia; Rodentia; Sciuridae. The record is from RNAcentral.